RNAcentral lists this ribosomal RNA (400 nucleotides) under uncultured bacterium. Its description in RNAcentral is "bacterial SSU rRNA". It matches the Rfam family "Bacterial small subunit ribosomal RNA", at positions 355 to 752 of the family's 1533-position model. The record is from RNAcentral.
UGAGGAAUAUUGGUCAAUGGACGAGAGUCUGAACCAGCCAAAUCGCGUGAAGGAAGACUGCCCUACGGGUUGUAAACUUCUUUUGUACAGGAAUAAAAGACAUUACGUGUAAUGUAUUGCAUGUACUGUACGAAUAAGCAUCGGCUAACUCCGUGCCAGCAGCCGCGGUAAUACGGAGGAUGCGAGCGUUAUCCGGAUUUAUUGGGUUUAAAGGGUGCGCAGGCGGGAUUUUAAGUCAGCGGUGAAAUUUUCAGGCUCAACCUGAACACUGCCGUUGAAACUGGGAUUCUUGAGUAUGGAUGAAGUAGGCGGAAUUCGUUGUGUAGCGGUGACAUGCUUAGAUAUAACGAGGAACUCCGAUUGCGUAGGCAGCUUACUAAGCCAUAACUGACGCUCAAGC